Paragonimus skrjabini miyazakii is the source of this 81-nucleotide non-coding RNA. The record is from the annotation of a GenBank genome assembly. Lineage: Eukaryota; Metazoa; Platyhelminthes; Trematoda; Plagiorchiida; Troglotrematidae.
GACUUCGUAGCUCAGUUGGUAAAGCAUUUACCGCAUUUGGGCAUGUUGUUUCUGUCGCUGGUUCGAAUCCAGCCGAAGUCC